AAAAAUUUAGUUAAAAAAUAACGUUAGCUUGUCAAGCUAAAAUUAUUAAUAAUUAAUAAUUUUUA
RNAcentral lists this transfer RNA (65 nucleotides) under Perotis lugubris. RNAcentral describes it as "tRNA-Asp". The record is from RNAcentral. Lineage: Eukaryota; Metazoa; Arthropoda; Insecta; Coleoptera; Buprestidae.